GCGCCAUGGCGGCCGCGCUCUCCGCCCGGCUCAAACCCGGCGCGCGGCCCCGCCCGCGCCUCUCAUUGGGCCGCUCGCCGUUCGAAAUCAGGCCCCGGCCGCCCAACGGCCACGCGGGGCUGCCCGCCGCGCCUGCCUCCGCGCGCCGCCUCAGAGCCUGAACAGCCAAGGGCCCGCGCGCCGCUCGCCGGCGAUCGCGCUGGAUGCCUAAGGGCCGGCGGGGCGGAACAGUGAGAGCGCCCUCAGCGCUCCGUCCCCACGUCUCCCUCAGCGCUCCGUCCCCACAUCGCCGUCAUCCCCACGUCCCCCUCAUCCCAGACACGUGCCCGCCCCUUGCCCCCACAGGUGUCCGGCGGUGCCGAGUUCGGGGCUGUUUCAGUUGGUUGGUCACUUGGAAACAAGUGUCUUUUUCUCCAAAAAUAAGCGUCAAAUAAAAACAGCUGCCCACGGCAGUUUUGGGGGUAAACUGGACUCUUCCACCCUAUCUCAUGGCCAGGGAAUGUCAAGUAUCAGCACGGAGAAAAUGUCGAGGUUCUUCCCGUCUGCUUCCGUCAUUGUCAUUGUCAUUGCUUUCCUCUGCAUUACGUGCAGGUCUGCCCGAGGUAGACACUGGAGCAGGAAAAAUUACUUUGAGAAUAAGAACUAUAAUUUUGGAACCAGUUGUAGCAUCCCAACUCAAAUCUAGGAUACCUGUUUGAAAUUGAGUUAAGAAAAAUAAACAACUGUUUGGCAUUGUCCUGGGGUGACUGUAUGAUGCUUGUAUCCCCAGUUGUCUGUUUUGCUUAUGCUGGAUGUUGAGUUCUGUGCUUUUAAAGUAGAUGUGAGAGCGAAGUGGGAAGGAGAAGAAGCGGUGGAAUGUCUGAGGCGGCUGUAUUCAAAAACAUAAAAACAGGAGCUUCAGCUCUCUCAGUGUGUGUGUCUGCAGCAUGGACAGUGAGAGGGAAAUGGGAGUUUUUCUUUGUUUUUCGCAGGUUUUCCUCAUAAGCUGUGGCAAGGAAAGUUUUCACAAGACUGUGUCUUUUUUCCUGGAGAUUUUCAAACCUGCUCUGCACUGAAACCCCCACAAAAACACUGUGGCUCACAAGGGCCUGGGAUGCAGCAAUUCCCAGCACAGGAGGGACUGAUAACAGACUGGGCUCGGCAUGUUUUGAGCACAGAGAAGCUCAGGCCAACUUUGUGUGUGGGACUGUGUGAACGGGACCUCUGCAGUGCAGUGACCAAAUCUGCAGAUAGGACUCAAGGUGAGGCUGCACCAGUGCAGAGCAGAGUGGGGAAGUCCUUGGCUUAGGGUAAGUACGACUUAGCAACAACCAAAAUAUCAGUGUUUUAUUCACAUUAGUCUCCUAUGGAAUCCAAAACACAGCACUGCAUCAGCUACUGAGAAGAAAAUGAGCUCUGCCCCAGCUGAAACCAGGACAAGAAAAAGCAAAGUUGUUAGCAUAUUACUGCAUACUAUUUCUUCUGUUUAGUUUCAAUCAUUGAUAAAUAUACAAAUACUCAAGACUGAAUUAAAACAUACAGAUUGAAAAAAACCUCAGUAGUGUUGGAAUUGUGAAGAAUUUAUCAUUAGUAGUUUCCCCAUUCAUUUAUUUAUAGCUUUAUGAGACAUUUUCAUGUAGUGUCAGACAUACUUAAGUCUAUCCACCGACUGCACAAAAAUAUCUGUUCAAAAACCUAUGAAGAUCAGACAAUUCCUAUGUUGAUUAUCUUAGCUUCAGAAAAACCACCACCCCAGAAGCUGACUUCCUGCUUGAGCAACCAUACGCUAAUUGCAAAACAAAAGGCACAAAAGGCACGUCUGGAGAGGCCCUUUCAGCAGUUAGGGCACUGCAGCGUAUCUGAUGCCGAACAACUUGUAAAUGUUUAGCAGGUUCUUUGUUGGAGAGAGUCUGCUUGAUGUAUGCUGCUAAUACUGCUGGGUGAUGUGACAGAGCAUUAAGGAAAACAAGCUGCAUCCUUUACUGUCAAACUGUUCAGUUUCAGCUGCUCCAAAGAGUAGGCUUUCGGGUAAAGAGUAGGCAGCUGCUUUUUCUGGGUUUUUUAGUCAGCUGUCAUCUUUACCAAGUCACUUUCCACCUGUUGGUUUUUAAAAAAAAAUAAAAUCCUUCCCACUCUCUUCAAGUCAGUUACUGAGAUUCAAACCCAUAAUGCCAGGUUAAUGUCUGUUACAUGACUGACUGUGAAAAGAACAACAUGAAGAAAGCAACAGGUAACUUGUGGUCCUUAACAGAUUGGUUUUGUGUCGUUGCGUUUUUCUUAAACUAAAAAAGAUUAAUUGAUUUUUUAUUUUAAAUCCAUUGAUGGUAACUCCUAGUUUUCUACUCAUUUCUACAAUAUAUUUUUUCAGUGUAUUUAAUGUCCAAUUUAAGCUCAAAUCUUCCCAUAAUUAAAAUUAAUUAAUGAAAAUAUUUUAGACCUUAAAACCUUAAAAGUACAUGCUCAGAAAAUGACUUUGUUAUGUUAGUUUCUAAAAGUAUGUAAGCAAUACUGUGUUCAGUGCUUCUAGGCCUGUGGGACAUAUGAUAGAAUGUCCUUAAACCCAGACCUUUUAACUGUCCGCAGAAAAGGACUCCAAAUCCAAUCCCCAGGAAUUUUGUACCAUGCCAGAGCUGUAAGGCAGUUGUGUUACCAAGUUGCCUCCCUCUCCUUCUCAUGAUGUGCUUGAAACCUGUCUGUGUGUGAAGGGUUGGAGCACAGGAAGCCAAGCAGAGUUAUCUCUGUGGCUUGCUGGUCCUGGCUUUCCACCCAUCUGUAUUUCCUGCACCUCUGACAAACAGUCCCAUGCUGGAGUGACAUGGCUUCUGCAUGGGACAGAGUAGCUCUGUUGGCUUUACGUGGCCAGAUGAGGGAUCGGGUGCAAGGACAAGGUGCACACAGGAGAGAAGAACAGGACUCACAGGGCUUUGGGGGCUGGAAAUGAUCCCCCCCAGCAGCUGUCACAGAAUUAUACAAUCACAGAAUGGUUGAGGCUCGAGGGGACCACUGGAGAUCAUCUACUCCAACCUCCCUUCUCAAGCAGGGACCCUUAUUCAGGAUUGUUCCUGUUAUUCAGGAUUGUAUCCAGGUAGGUGUUGAACAUCUCCAGUGAGGGAGACCACAACUCUCCUGGCAGUCUGUUCCAGCGCUCAGUCACCUGCAUAGUAACAAAGUAAUUUCUCAUGUUCAGGUGGAACUUCCUAUGUCUCUUGUCCUAUCACUUGGCAGCAUCCAGAAGAGCCUGGCUCCAUCCCCUUGACAUUUACCCUUCAGAUACUUGUAUAUAUUUAUAACAACCCCCCUCAUUCUUCUCCAGGAUAAACAGGCCCUGCUCCCUCAGCCUUUCCUCAUAAGUGACCUGUUCCAGUCCCCUCAUCCUCUUUGUUGCCCUUCACUGGACCAGCUCCAGUAGCUCCCUGUCUCUCCUGUCCUGAGGAGCCCAGAACUGGACACAGCUCUCCAGGUGAGGCUCACCAGGGCUGAGCAGAGGGGCAG
Passer domesticus (house sparrow) is the source of this 3471-nucleotide long non-coding RNA. RefSeq lists it as uncharacterized. The record is from RefSeq and is a predicted model, not a curated record. Lineage: Eukaryota; Metazoa; Chordata; Aves; Passeriformes; Passeridae. The transcript is spliced from 4 exons.